CGCCUGUUUAUCAAAAACAUAACCAUAUGUUUUUAAAUAUAUGGCGUUUUCUGCUCAAUGAUUGUUAAAUAGCCGCAGUACUCUGACUGUGCAAAGGUAGCAUAAUCAUUUGGCUUAUAAUUGAAGUCUUGUAUGAAUGAAAACUAUGGCUAGCUACUGUCUCAUAUAAGUUAAUAGAACUUACUUAGUAAGUGAAAAUACUUACUUUUACAUAAAAGACGAGAAGACCCUAGAAAUUUUGAUUAUUUAGGGUAUUUUUCUAACCGUUUUUGUUGGGGCGACAGAACAACAAGAAACUUGUUUUAUAAAAUAUAAAUUUUUUUAAAAGAAAACUAUAAAUUACUCUAGGGAUAACAGCAUAAUUUAUUAAAGUUUGUGACCUCGAUGUUGGAUUAGGGUGUAUACUACUUAAAAGGAAGUAUACCUUGUUCUGUUCGAACGGAAAACCCUACGUGAUCUGAGUUCAGACCGG
This 472-nucleotide ribosomal RNA is filed under the name Maricopella allynsmithi. RNAcentral's name for it is "partial large subunit ribosomal RNA". It matches the Rfam family "Bacterial large subunit ribosomal RNA", at positions 1797 to 2619 of the family's 2925-position model. Lineage: Eukaryota; Metazoa; Mollusca; Gastropoda; Stylommatophora; Helminthoglyptidae. The record is from RNAcentral.